CAGGGUGUAGCGCAGACUGGUAGCGCACCUGCCUUGGGAGCAGGAGGUCGUGGGUUCAAAUCCCACCACCCUGACCA
RNAcentral lists this transfer RNA (77 nucleotides) under Betaproteobacteria bacterium RIFCSPLOWO2_12_FULL_62_13. RNAcentral describes it as "tRNA-Pro". It matches the Rfam family "tRNA". Rfam says of the family: Transfer RNA (tRNA) molecules are approximately 80 nucleotides in length. Their secondary structure includes four short double-helical elements and three loops (D, anti-codon, and T loops). Further hydrogen bonds mediate the characteristic L-shaped molecular structure. tRNAs have two regions of fundamental functional importance: the anti-codon, which is responsible for specific mRNA codon recognition, and the 3' end, to which the tRNAs corresponding amino acid is attached (by aminoacyl-tRNA synthetases). tRNAs cope with the degeneracy of the genetic code in two manners: having more than one tRNA (with a specific anti-codon) for a particular amino acid; and 'wobble' base-pairing, i.e. permitting non-standard base-pairing at the 3rd anti-codon position. Lineage: Bacteria; Pseudomonadati; Pseudomonadota; Betaproteobacteria. The record is from RNAcentral.